UACGGGAGGCAGCAGUGGGGAAUAUUGCACAAUGGGCGCAAGCCUGAUGCAGCCAUGCCGCGUGUAUGAAGAAGGCCUUCGGGUUGUAAAGUACUUUCAGUCGUGAGGAAGGUGUUAAGGUUAAUAACCUUAGCAAUUGACGUUAGCGACAGAAGAAGCACCGGCUAACUCCGUGCCAGCAGCCGCGGUAAUACGGAGGGUGCGAGCGUUAAUCGGAAUUACUGGGCGUAAAGGGCACGCAGGCGGUUAAUUAAGUUGGAUGUGAAAUCCCCGGGCUUAACCUGGGAAUGGCAUUCAAGACUGGUUAGCUAGAGUCUUGUAGAGGGGGUAGAAUUCCAUGUGUAGCGGUGAAAUGCGUAGAGAUGUGGAGGAAUACCGGGUGGCGAAGGCGGCCCCUGGACAAAGACUGACGCUCAUGUGCGAAAGCGUGGGGAGCGAAACAGGAUUAGAUACC
RNAcentral lists this ribosomal RNA (454 nucleotides) under uncultured bacterium. RNAcentral describes it as "bacterial SSU rRNA". It matches the Rfam family "Bacterial small subunit ribosomal RNA", at positions 340 to 786 of the family's 1533-position model. The record is from RNAcentral.